UACGGGGGGGGCAAGCGUUGUUCGGAAUUACUGGGCGUAAAGGGCUCGUAGGCGGCCCACUAAGUCGGAUGUGAAAUCCCCAGGCUCAACCUGGGAACUGCAUCCGAUACUGGAUGGCUUGAAUUCGGGAGAGGGAUGCAGAAUUCCAGGUGUAGCGGUGAAAUGCGUAGAUAUCUGGAGGAACACCGGUGGCGAAGGCGGCAUCCUGGACCGAGAUUGACGCUGAGGCGCGAAAGCCAGGGGAGCAAACGGG
This 253-nucleotide ribosomal RNA is filed under the name uncultured bacterium. Its description in RNAcentral is "partial 16S ribosomal RNA". It matches the Rfam family "Bacterial small subunit ribosomal RNA", at positions 524 to 776 of the family's 1533-position model. The record is from RNAcentral.